AUUCAUCUGUGUUGUUACUUUUCGUAUAUAAGAGUGGACCUUCAUCAUAUCGAUACUAUACAAGGUUCCUUCAAGGAGAUCAACGAGUGACUGCAACUAGAUCAAGACCAGAAAAAAAACGUACUUUGUACGGGAAUGUGGACAACAUGGAAAGUCAGUUGCCUUAUUCUGUGACUUAAAUGUCUAGCAUCCAGUCAGCCACUUUGACAGCUCAUCUGAAAGGGAUCCUGUAUUUCUGGACAAGACAUUUUUUUUCUAUCAGUAUCCUGGAUUGCUAUAUCAGGUAGUUUCUUCUUGGCCAUGUCCUUAAUCUGUCUGUCAUCCCACCCCAGUGUUCACCUCCAUCAAGUUGUAUGCAGCCCAUCUUCCAUGUGGUUAAGUAAAUAUUUAUUUCCAAUCUGCAGAUACAUUUGUGUUGUUAUAUGUAAUAUCUUAACUUCAAAUUGUAGAUUAGCUUAAAAGUCUUCAUUUAUCCCCCACGAUUGUCUAACUGGUGAACCAAACAUGUUACAUCCUCAGUGAUGUUAUUUGAGGAUUGCUGCUGACUUAACUUUAUCACUAAUUCUUCCCUGGAAACAAUAAUUCAAACAUUUCACUUGAACUUGUGUCAUCACAUCAUCAAAUUUGAACCUGCUAUUGCAAUUUCCAUACCAAACUGUGUUGAUACUCAAACAUUUCAGUUAAAUAUUGACCAGUGAGCUCAAGUGGGUUACUUUGCUCAUUCAUUUUCUCUUCAUUUUCAUGUUCUCACAAAUAUUGCUGGUUUCUGAUAUUUGAAUUUUCUUCAGGGAUUAUAGGAGUAGAAAACAUUUCUAUGAAUUCUGUAUAGUCACAAAUUUCCAUUUUGUUGACAGUACGAAAUAAUUUCCUUAUUGGUAAACAAAUUGUAUUCUUUUUAGGCAUCUAAGAAGGCCAUUUAAAUAGGUCCCCUAAUCCUAAAACAGCUAUUUUGUGACCGGCUUAUUUUUGACUUGGUGUAAUACAGUCUCUCUUGACUUAUUCACUGUCCAUUGAAACAAGGUGAACUACUUCUGCUACUUCAAAAAUGUUGAGGCCAAGACAUGCAUAUGCUCAUGAGUUAAGUUUCUUGUUUAUGAAUUACGUAUGCAUUCUCUACUAUUAUGCACCAUUUGUGUUGCAUGUUACUUUUAUCUUGAGAGCUGUCCCACCUCGAGCAUGUAGUUUCAUUGCUGUAGACUAAGUUCUGCUUCUUUAACCAUAGUAAGCUAUUUGAACAUAACAGUACUUGUCCAUGUUUAAAGCUUAAAAUUAACGAGGUGCUCAUUGACAGGAACAUGGUCUGACAAACUUGAGUUUUUUGGAUCACCAAUUUCUCAUAAAAAUGCAUUGGGCAUCUUAUUAAUGAUGGUGGUCCUAUCACAUUAAAUUCUUUGUGUGAGUUUUAAUGCUCUGUGACUGUGCUCUGCUUCUACUCAUCUUCUGGAUUGACCUACAGUUUUAGAGAGAUCACAUUCUUUUUUAAUACCCGGGCUCUGCUUGUCCUUGUGAUGCUUCCUUAUUCCACAGAACUAACACUGAAUGUUAUCAUCUACUGUUUGGCCUCUACUUUUUGAUGGAUCAUCACGAGUGUCUUUAGGGUUUUUAAACCUUACAAACUGAACAGGUACUGUUUGCUCUUCUAUGAUAUAUAUGUCCUUCUCAUAGGAGAUUUCUCUGUGAUAUUUCAUGCUUUCAGCUUCUAGCAUAAUCUGAACAGA
Stegostoma tigrinum is the source of this 1718-nucleotide long non-coding RNA. RefSeq lists it as uncharacterized. The transcript is spliced from 3 exons. The record is from RefSeq and is a predicted model, not a curated record. Lineage: Eukaryota; Metazoa; Chordata; Chondrichthyes; Orectolobiformes; Stegostomatidae.